This 357-nucleotide ribosomal RNA is filed under the name uncultured bacterium. RNAcentral describes it as "bacterial SSU rRNA". It matches the Rfam family "Bacterial small subunit ribosomal RNA", at positions 29 to 369 of the family's 1533-position model. The record is from RNAcentral.
AACGAACGCUGGCGGCGUGGAUAAGACAUGCAAGUCGAACGGGACUAAAUCUGUAGCAAUACAGGUUUAGUUUAGUGGCGAACGGGUGCGUAACACGUGGGCAAUCUGCCGAGAAGUGGGGGAGUAGCUCGCCGAAAGGCGAAUUAAUACCGCAUAUGAUCAGCUAAGACAUCUUAGCGACAUCAAAGCCGGGGCAACCUGGCGCUUCUUGAUGAGCCCCGCGGCCUAUCAGCUAGUUGGUGAGGUAACGGCUCACCAAGGCUAUGACGGGUAGCUGGUCUGAGAGGACGACCAGUCACACUGGAACUGAGACACGGUCCAGACACCUACGGGUGGCAGCAGUCGAGUAAUUUUUCU